CGGGUGAGUAACACGUGGAUAGCCUACCUAUAAGACUGGGAUAACUUCGGGAAACCGGAGCUAAUACCGGAUAAUAUAUUGAACCGCAUGGUUCAAUAGUGAAAGACGGUUUUGCUGUCACUUAUAGAUGGAUCCGCGCCGCAUUAGCUAGUUGGUAAGGUAACGGCUUACCAAGGCAACGAUGCGUAGCCGACCUGAGAGGGUGAUCGGCCACACUGGAACUGAGACACGGUCCAG
Molecule: ribosomal RNA, 237 nt
Filed under: uncultured Staphylococcus sp.
Lineage: Bacteria; Bacillati; Bacillota; Bacilli; Caryophanales; Staphylococcaceae
Description: partial 16S ribosomal RNA
Rfam family: Bacterial small subunit ribosomal RNA
Source: RNAcentral